This is a long non-coding RNA of Copidosoma floridanum, 475 nucleotides long. Lineage: Eukaryota; Metazoa; Arthropoda; Insecta; Hymenoptera; Encyrtidae. The record is from RefSeq and is a predicted model, not a curated record.
ACCUCGACAACUACACGUUCCUACCGUUCAGUGUAUUCCUUGCGUUUUUCUGGAUCUUCACGUAUAAGAAGGUCCCUGAAACCAAGAACAAGACCUUCGAAGAAAUAUUAGCAUUAUUCAGACAUACUAAUGGCCGGUACAACUGAUGAAUAUCCGUUUUACGUUUUAUCGACUGUAUUGCAUUUUAUCGUUUAUUUUUUUCUCAUUUUGUUGUUUGUGUGAAUCUGUGUGCGAGUAAAAAAAAACAGACGUAUUUGUAAUGUAGCAUUUUAAAGCGUCAGGAGUUUUUCUUUACUUUUACAAUACAGAAAAUGGAGGGGCUUCGUCCAUAACACCUUGUCGUACGGCUCAUGUUUCGUUGAAAGAAGAGCAUACUUAUGACUGCAUUAAAACGCCGAAAGCGAGAAUAAAGAAAUAACACGAAUGUUAAAAAAAGUCGCUUACAGUGACCGGUUUGGACUUAAAAAUGAUAAAA